Molecule: ribosomal RNA, 253 nt
Filed under: uncultured bacterium
Lineage: Bacteria
Description: partial 16S ribosomal RNA
Rfam family: Bacterial small subunit ribosomal RNA
Source: RNAcentral
UACAGAGGUCCCAAGCGUUGUUCGGAUUCAUUGGGCGUAAAGGGUGCGUAGGUGGCGCCGUAAGUCAGGUGUGAAAUCUCGGGGCUUAACUCCGAAACUGCAUUUGAUACUGCGGUGCUUGAGGACUGGAGAGGAGACUGGAAUUUACGGUGUAGCAGUGAAAUGCGUAGAGAUCGUAAGGAAGACCAGUGGCGAAGGCGAGUUUCUGGACAGUUACUGACGCUGAGGCACGAAGGCCAGGGGAGCAAACGGG